CCUACGGGAGGCAGCAGUAGGGAAUAUUGCUCAAUGGGGGAAACCCUGAAGCAGCAACGCCGCGUGGAGGAUGAAGGUUUUCGGAUUGUAAACUCCUUUUGUUAGAGAAGAUAAUGACGGUAUCUAACGAAUAAGCACCGGCUAACUCCGUGCCAGCAGCCGCGGUAAUACGGAGGGUGCAAGCGUUACUCGGAAUCACUGGGCGUAAAGGGCGCGUAGGCGGGAUAGCAAGUCAGAUGUGAAAUCCUAUGGCUUAACCAUAGAACUGCAUUUGAAACUGUUAUUCUAGAGUAUGGGAGAGGUAGGUGGAAUUCUUGGUGUAGGGGUAAAAUCCGUAGAGAUCAAGAGGAAUACUCAUUGCGAAGGCGACCUGCUAGAACAUAACUGACGCUGAUGCGCGAAAGCGUGGGGAGCAAACAGGAUAAGAUACCCGAGUAGUC
RNAcentral lists this ribosomal RNA (440 nucleotides) under uncultured bacterium. RNAcentral describes it as "partial 16S ribosomal RNA". It matches the Rfam family "Bacterial small subunit ribosomal RNA", at positions 338 to 795 of the family's 1533-position model. The record is from RNAcentral.